GAUGAAGAACGUAGCGAAAUGCGAUAAGUAGUGUGAAUUGCAGAAUUCAGUGAAUCAUCGAAUCUUUGAACGCACAUUGCGCCCCUUGGUAUUCCAUGGGGCAUGCCUGUUCGAGCGUCAUUUGUACCUUCAAGCUUUGCUUGGUGUUGGGUGUUUGUCCAUUCUCUUGUAGAGGGACUCGCCUUAAAGUAAUUGGCAGCCAGUGUUUUGGUUUUGAAGCGCAGCACAAGUCGCGAUUCAAAGCUAUACGCCCGCUUCCACAAGCCUUUUUCACUUUUGACCUCGGAUCAGGUAGGGAUACCCGCUGAACUUAAGCAUAUCAAUAAGCGGAGGA
RNAcentral lists this unclassified non-coding RNA (334 nucleotides) under soil metagenome. RNAcentral's name for it is "partial contains 5.8S ribosomal RNA, internal transcribed spacer 2, and large subunit ribosomal RNA". The stretch from base 1 to 120 matches the Rfam family "5.8S ribosomal RNA", at positions 35 to 154 of the family's 154-position model. The record is from RNAcentral.